Molecule: ribosomal RNA, 301 nt
Filed under: uncultured bacterium
Lineage: Bacteria
Description: partial 16S ribosomal RNA
Rfam family: Bacterial small subunit ribosomal RNA
Source: RNAcentral
CAGUCGCCGCGGUAAUACAGAGGGUGCGAGCGUUAAUCGGAUUUACUGGGCGUAAAGCGUGCGUAGGCGGCUUCUUAAGUCGGAUGUGAAAUCCCUGAGCUUAACUUAGGAAUUGCAUUCGAUACUGGGAAGCUAGAGUAUGGGAGAGGAUGGUAGAAUUCCAGGUGUAGCGGUGAAAUGCGUAGAGAUCUGGAGGAAUACCGAUGGCGAAGGCAGCCAUCUGGCCUAAUACUGACGCUGAGGUACGAAAGCAUGGGGAGCAAACAGGAUUAGAUACCCGAGUAGUCCCUGUCUUUUAUAC